RNAcentral lists this ribosomal RNA (253 nucleotides) under uncultured bacterium. Its description in RNAcentral is "partial 16S ribosomal RNA". It matches the Rfam family "Bacterial small subunit ribosomal RNA", at positions 524 to 776 of the family's 1533-position model. The record is from RNAcentral.
UACGUAGGGUGCAAGCGUUGUCCGGAAUUAUUGGGCGUAAAGAGCUCGUAGGCGGUUUGUCGCGUCUGCUGUGAAAACUCGGGGCUUAACCCCGGGCCUGCAGUGGGUACGGGCAGACUAGAGUGCGGUAGGGGAGACUGGAAUUCCUGGUGUAGCGGUGAAAUGCGCAGAUAUCAGGAGGAACACCGGUGGCGAAGGCGGGUCUCCGGGCCGUAACUGACGCUGAGGAGCGAAAGCGUGGGGAGCGAACAGG